RNAcentral lists this ribosomal RNA (253 nucleotides) under uncultured bacterium. RNAcentral describes it as "partial 16S ribosomal RNA". It matches the Rfam family "Bacterial small subunit ribosomal RNA", at positions 524 to 776 of the family's 1533-position model. The record is from RNAcentral.
UACAGAGGGUGCGAGCGUUAAUCGGAAUUACUGGGCGUAAAGCGCGCGUAGGCGGCUUUGUAAGUCGGUUGUGAAAUCCCCGGGCUCAACCUGGGAACUGCAUCCGAGACUGCAUAGCUAGAGUAUGGGAGAGGGAAGUGGAAUUUCAGGUGUAGCGGUGAAAUGCGUAGAUAUCUGAAGGAACAUCAGUGGCGAAAGCGACUUCCUGGACCAAUACUGACGCUCAUGUGCGAAAGCGUGGGGAGCAAACAGG